CCUACGGGAGGCAGCAGUGGGGAAUAUUGCACAAUGGGGGAAACCCUGAUGCAGCGACGCCGCGUGAGUGAAGAAGUAUUUCGGUAUGUAAAGCUCUAUCAGCAGGGAAGCAAAUGACGGGACCUGAUUAAGAAGCCCCGGCUAACUACGUGCCAGCAGCCGCGGUAAUACGUAGGGGGCAAGCGUUAUCCGGAUUUACUGGGUGUAAAGGGAGCGUAGACGGCAGCACAAGUCUGGAGUGAAAUGCCGGGGCUUAACCCCGGAACUGCUUUGGAAACUGUGCAGCUAGAGUGCAGGAGAGGUAAGUGGAAUUCCUAGUGUAGCGGUGAAAUGCGUAGAUAUUAGGAGGAACACCAGUGGCGAAGGCGGCUUACUGGACUGUAACUGACGUUGAGGCUCGAAAGCGUGGGGAGCGAACAGGAUUAGAUACCCCAGUAGUC
This 440-nucleotide ribosomal RNA is filed under the name uncultured bacterium. Its description in RNAcentral is "partial 16S ribosomal RNA". It matches the Rfam family "Bacterial small subunit ribosomal RNA", at positions 338 to 795 of the family's 1533-position model. The record is from RNAcentral.